Molecule: transfer RNA, 72 nt
Filed under: Pacmanvirus A23
Rfam family: tRNA
About the family: Transfer RNA (tRNA) molecules are approximately 80 nucleotides in length. Their secondary structure includes four short double-helical elements and three loops (D, anti-codon, and T loops).
Source: Rfam by way of RNAcentral
AGAUGUAUCUUCUAGUGGCUAAGAAGGCGGUCUUAUGAGCCGUUAACCUGGGUUCGAUUCCCAGUACAUCUA